Molecule: ribosomal RNA, 360 nt
Filed under: uncultured bacterium
Lineage: Bacteria
Description: bacterial SSU rRNA
Rfam family: Bacterial small subunit ribosomal RNA
Source: RNAcentral
AACGAACGCUGGCGGCAGGCCUAACACAUGCAAGUCGAACGCCGUAGCAAUACGGAGUGGCAGACGGGUGAGUAACACGUGGGAACGUACCCUUCGGUUCGGGAUAACUCAGGGAAACUUGAGCUAAUACCGGAUACGUCCGAGAGGAGAAAGAUUUAUUGCCGAGGGAUCGGCCCGCGUCUGAUUAGCUUGUUGGUGAGGUAACGGCUCACCAAGGCGACGAUCAGUAGCUGGUCNGAGAGGAUGAUCAGCCACAUUGGGACUGAGACACGGCCCAAACUCCUACGGGAGGCAGCAGUGGGGGAAUAUUGGACAAUGGGGCGCAAGCCUGAUCCAGCCAUGCCGCGUGAGUGAUGAAGG